UACGUAGGUGGCAAUCGUUGUCCGGAAUUACUGGGUGUAAAGGGCGUGUAGGCGGGUAUGCAAGUCAGAUGUGAAAUUCCUCUGCUCAACGGAGGCGCUGCAUCUGAAACUGUAUGUCUUGAGUGCUGGAGAGGAAAGCGGAAUUCCUAGUGUAGCGGUGAAAUGCGUAGAUAUUAGGAGGAACACCAGUGGCGAAGGCGGCUUUCUGGACAGUAACUGACGCUGAGGCGCGAAAGCGUGGGGAGAAAACGGG
Molecule: ribosomal RNA, 253 nt
Filed under: uncultured bacterium
Lineage: Bacteria
Description: partial 16S ribosomal RNA
Rfam family: Bacterial small subunit ribosomal RNA
Source: RNAcentral